CGGCGGCGGCUUUGGCGGUGGUGGAGAGUGAGGCAGCGGCACAAUGCCAUCCCCGUCGGUGAUCCUGGGUGUUGAGGAGCAACAGUGACAAGAUACAGACUAUUAAUUGGUGAGCGCUUCUAUUAUUGGUUCAAUGCAAGACUUUAGCUAUGACCAUGCUGUAAAUGAAAGUUCUAGUAAGUGGAAAGACCUAAUAUACUUGUACAUCCUGUCACUUCAUUACUCUCAUCAAUUCACCUAAGUUUAGGUGGCAUGAGAGAUUUUGCUGUCAUGAGCUCAAGUGACACAUGUGAGAUUCAAAGCUCAGGUGGUAAUCAAGAUUUACAGAGUUUUCAGAAUGAAUCAUCUGAAGAGCAAACCAAUGAUGGAGUUGAUGGAAUAAUUGAGCUAGGUCGAUAUGCACAAAGUCAUCAUGCUACUAAAAAGUUAAGAUCGAGAGUUUGGAAAGACUUUAAAAUAGCACUAGUGGA
Molecule: long non-coding RNA, 470 nt
Organism: Oryza brachyantha (malo sina)
Lineage: Eukaryota; Viridiplantae; Streptophyta; Magnoliopsida; Poales; Poaceae
Exons: 3
Source: RefSeq, a predicted model, not a curated record